Molecule: ribosomal RNA, 429 nt
Filed under: Bacteroidota bacterium
Lineage: Bacteria; Pseudomonadati; Bacteroidota
Description: Bacteroidetes bacterium partial 16S ribosomal RNA
Rfam family: Bacterial small subunit ribosomal RNA
Source: RNAcentral
UAGGGAAUCUUCGGCAAUGGGGGGAACCCUGACCGAGCAACGCCGCGUGAGUGAAGAAGGUUUUCGGAUCGUAAAGCUCUGUUGUUAAGGAAGAACGAGUGUGAGAAUGGAAAGUUCAUGCUGUGACGGUACUUAACCAGAAAGGGACGGCUAACUACGUGCCAGCAGCCGCGGUAAUACGUAGGUCCCGAACGUUGUCCGGAUUUAUUGGGCGUAAAGCGAGCGCAGGCGGUUAGAAAAGUCUGAAGUGAAAGGCAGUGGCUCAACCAUUGUAGGCUUUGGAAACUGUUUAACUUGAGUGCAGAAGGGGAGAGUGGAAUUCCAUGUGUAGCGGUGAAAUGCGUAGAUAUAUGGAGGAACACCGGUGGCGAAAGCGGCUCUCUGGUCUGUAACUGACGCUGAGGCUCGAAAGCGUGGGGAGCGAACAGG